CUUGGUCAUUUGCUCGUACCAGCGGGAUAUGCGCUCGAUGAAAUCGAGCAUCGCUUUCAAGCGACGAGCAACGAGGGGACUGAGUGUCUCAUCGCCCUUCGCUUCCUCUAU
This 111-nucleotide unclassified non-coding RNA is filed under the name fungal sp. RNAcentral describes it as "partial internal transcribed spacer region". Lineage: Eukaryota; Fungi. The record is from RNAcentral.